Molecule: ribosomal RNA, 253 nt
Filed under: uncultured bacterium
Lineage: Bacteria
Description: partial 16S ribosomal RNA
Rfam family: Bacterial small subunit ribosomal RNA
Source: RNAcentral
UACGUAGGGGGCAAGCGUUGUUCGGAUUUACUGGGCGUAAAGGGCGCGUAGGCGGCGCGACAAGUCACUUGUGAAAUCUCCGGGCUUAACUCGGAGCGGCCAAGUGAUACUGUCGUGCUAGAGUGCGGAAGGGGCAACUGGAAUUCUCGGUGUAGCGGUGAAAUGCGUAGAUAUCUGCAGGAACACCCGUGGCGAAAGCGGCGCGCUGGACCACUACUGACGCUGAGGAACGAAAGCUAGGGGAGCAAACAGG